Octopus sinensis (East Asian common octopus) is the source of this 1311-nucleotide RNA transcript. RefSeq lists it as uncharacterized. The transcript is spliced from 8 exons. The record is from RefSeq and is a predicted model, not a curated record. NCBI's taxonomy places the organism in Eukaryota, Metazoa, Mollusca, Cephalopoda, Octopoda, Octopodidae.
AUGCAAACUAUUCAUACACCAGCUAAAAAUAUGUGUAUGGCCGCUUACGAAAUACACUUAAUGUUGAUAAGCUAAUAUGUGUAUAAGAGAGGUCUGGGUUUUCCGAUUUUCUAUAUUAUAGAUACGACUGCUUUCAAAUUACAUACAAGUUACAAUUCACUCGAGCGUGACUUAAAAUGUUAGCUAAGUAAGGAAGUAGGUUAGGUACAUUUUACUUUUCACUAAAUACUGUUAGUAAUGACAACAUUUUCUUUUAUCUAUUUCAUGUCACUACCUUACUCAUAUUUUCCAUAAUAACAAACAACAAGCAUUAAGUUGCCCUGAAGUACAUAAGAUUUGAAAUCUCUUUCUUACUAUUUUAUCUACGAAAUUGUUGCUGGAGAACAAAACGAUGUCUCACUAUUCGAUCUGCUUAAUUAUACUGUAUAUUUUACAUGGUAUCCUACAAGUAUCGUGCUAUAGCAAUGGACAUAAUUUAAGAACAAAAUCAAUAUCAGCAGGUGGAAAAUGUCUAAAAAAUGAUAGCUGUUCAUGUACUUUCGAAAAUGGUACAGAAAUUAAUCUACAUUUUCUUGAUACUAAACCAAGACCAAGAUUCACGAUUGAUUCAGAAUUUCAAAAGUAUUCUUGGAAUCCCUGUACAGGUUAUACAGUCGGUGAUACAAAAGAUGUUGCAAUGGCUAUGAACGGCGGCGUUCUUGGUCUCCAAGCAGGCGCUUCGUUUCGUACAUUCGAAACUAAUGACUUUGGUAUAUACUAUAGUAGUUAUGCUGUAGUCAUACUAAAUUGUAGUGAUAAUAUGCGUAUAAAUUUCAAGUUGAAAGACAAUUGCCCUCAAGGUAUGAUUCUGUGCUUUGAAUAUUCAGGACCAUGUCAUAUAAAAACACCACAUGUGCCUGUUGAACCAAAAAAGCUUUCUACUGGAAGUAUAAUCUCAAUCGUUACAUUUUCAAUUAUAAUUGUAUACCUUGUGGGAGGUUGCCUGGUCACUUCGUUUUACCUAAACUCGACUGGAAUGGAACGAUGCCCGAAUGUUACACUUUGGAGCAAAUUGGGUUCUCUUAUAAAGGACGGAUUCUCUUACACGUUUUCUAAAGUCAAAUCAUCGUCAAGAAGUAGCUAUGAGAGUAUUUAAGAAUAAAAUUCAAAACUUAACAUGAAUUCAUCAAAAUACUUCUAUAAGAGCCUAACAACUAAUAAUAAUAAUAAUAAUAAUAAUAAUAAUAAUACAAGACUGAAGUUACUCUCCACGAAGGUAAAGAUACUGUUAGAAACAAUAAGAAGAAUGCGACUGUUGUUGGUAAUAAAUAG